GACGAACGCUGGCGGCGUGCUUAACACAUGCAAGUCGAACGGAAAGGCCCUGCUUUUGUGGGGUGCUCGAGUGGCGAACGGGUGAGUAACACGUGAGUAACCUGCCCUUGACUUUGGGAUAACUUCAGGAAACUGGGGCUAAUACCGGAUAGGAGCUCCUGCUGCAUGGUGGGGGUUGGAAAGUUUCGGCGGUUGGGGAUGGACUCGCGGCUUAUCAGCUUGUUGGUGGGGUAGUGGCUUACCAAGGCUUUGACGGGUAGCCGGCCUGAGAGGGUGACCGGCCACAUUGGGACUGAGAUACGGCCCAGACUCCUACGGGAGGCAACAGUGGGGAAUAUUGCACAAUGGGCGGAAGCCUGAUGCAGAAACGCCGCGUGCGGGAUGACGGCCUUCGGGUGGUAAACCGCUUUCGCCUGUGACGAAGCGUGAGUGACGGUAAUGGGUAAAGAAGCACCGGCUAACUACGU
This 467-nucleotide ribosomal RNA is filed under the name uncultured bacterium. RNAcentral's name for it is "partial 16S ribosomal RNA". It matches the Rfam family "Bacterial small subunit ribosomal RNA", at positions 28 to 506 of the family's 1533-position model. The record is from RNAcentral.